CCACGUCACAUUAAUAAUUCAGACCAAUCAUAGAGUUGUAUUGUGCCAUGUCAUAUGUUCCUCACACAUCCAAAAUUAGUUCGACGACUUCGUCUUCCUCCUUUUCCUCGAAGAAAUCCCAACCGUUUCACCUCUUCUCCUCUGUAACAUUAAAAUUGUGACUCAUAAAGCUUUAUCAUUUAGUGCAAUCACUAUAUAAUCUACCUCUUCACAUCCAAUUUUGCUGAGGAGAAGAAGAACUACAACGUAGAAUCUAUAUUUCCCCGGUCAUGCCAAUGUCAUCAACUCUGGAUCAAGCGCUAAAUCUCUGUCAUCAACCAAACACUGAUCAUGAAGAAAUCAGCAAACUCCCAUCUUCAAAAGCCAAGGAUAACAGAAAGUCAUCAUCCAACUUUCCAGACUUCUGCAACUGGUCUCCAUGAGCUCCAAACUACGUGUUUAUCCUAAUCGUUAAGUUCUCAUUCUUUGGGUUCUUGAUCUUCCAUUACAUCAGAUUCAUCACCGUUAAAUCCUUCAAGAUUUUCUAACAGCGAGAUGGCUUCACCAAAAUGGAACUGAGGUGAAACACAGUCUGGAAACUCAAAUUCCUAUUGGCUCCACCUUCAUCACCAUCGGUAUCCAAAGAAGCCAGUGCCGUCCUAAUACUUUGAUAGUGAUUAAGUUGAGGCUUGAGGCGUAUUGAUGGCACAACGACCAGAUUGUUCUACUUCAUAUGAUAGUUUAGUCGGAUCCUGUAACACACUUUUGAGAAUAACCAUUUACAAGUACCUACUGCUUAAUCCACGAAAGUCUUUUGUCUCCACGGGAAGGUCUCCCAUCGUCCUGUAUUAUAACAAUCAAGGGAGUUAGGCAUGGAUAUAAGAUCAGAACGAUUGUUGGUUUUGAAGCAUAACCCGUGUUCCGAUCAUGUCAGAGCUCCCAAAACAACACGGAUGACCAUAGUCAGAAUCAAGUACAGUUCCGUCUACCAAGGGUAAGUGACAAUCACUUCUAGGGAACCAUCUCAGAGUGUAUUGGCAACUGGUCUCAGCUUAAAAAUCUUUGAUUAGCAAAUGGAAACUAAAGCAGGACUCAUGUUUAAAGCGAUUUUUUUUAUAAGACUGGCACAAUAGAACACAAACUGUGUGUGAUCUGGCGUGUAGAAAAGGACUUGACGUCCUCGACCUUCCACCUGAUAUCCAACCACACUCGAGAAGGAGUACUUCAAGAACCAUCAUUGUCUCUAAAAUCGUACAUGGGAAAACUCUCCAUAAGUUUGGGGCAUGUAACUGGUACACUGAUACGUACUCCUGCAGGAUAUGUACAUUCUUAGAUGUUCAUUUUCUUCAUCUUAUUUAGAUUAAAGGGGCAGUAACCUUGAAGAAGAUGAUAGGGAUGGGUUUUCCUUUGUUAGACGUGAUAUACCCGUAACCCGCCACUAGCGCUGAAAAGCCUUCUGGCUAAGGUUGUGAAGUUGUUCAGCCGUCUACUAAGCUUCUGCCAGUUGCUCAGAUGGGAGUUGUUGCUCGGAGUUGAAUGUAUCUUCCACAUAAUUGGAAUCGCACAUGACAAAUCAAGUUGGCUUCUCGAUGACGUCCUGCAGUCAUUUAUGAAAGCUCAUGGACCUCUGAAGAUAUCAACAAUUGGGAAUUGGUCAGUUCUCUUACAGUGUCAGAUGACUUUCUGUGCUGCUAUUGUGCCAAAUACCAAACGUAUCAGUGUUAAACUUAGUAAAGCUAAUACAAUCCAACUUUUCUUCUUUGUAUGUGUUCUUUACAUUAAAAGAACAAGAUUCUCCGGUGA
Brassica napus (rape) is the source of this 1782-nucleotide long non-coding RNA. RefSeq lists it as uncharacterized. The record is from RefSeq and is a predicted model, not a curated record. Lineage: Eukaryota; Viridiplantae; Streptophyta; Magnoliopsida; Brassicales; Brassicaceae. The transcript has 7 exons.